Long non-coding RNA from Cloeon dipterum, 1148 nucleotides. RefSeq lists it as uncharacterized. The record is from RefSeq and is a predicted model, not a curated record. The transcript has 3 exons. NCBI's taxonomy places the organism in Eukaryota, Metazoa, Arthropoda, Insecta, Ephemeroptera, Baetidae.
GUCAUGACAGCAAGACGGUUUUUGUUACCUUCUCUCUUUGCCUGCGUAAUUGUUACCGUACUGCUUUAUAGUUUCUGGCUGGACACAUUUUCGGCAUUUUCGUAUUAUAUUAAGCUUCAUCCAGAGAGACAGUUGCCUCUGAACGAAGGGUUUGACUGUCCUAAAGGGCCAAUUGUUACUGUCAUGGAAGGCGGGCGACUGGCCAACCAAAUAUUCGAAUACGGCUCUGCGUACUUCGUGGCCAAAUAUCUCAACAGGUCUGCAUACAUCCCGGCAUCCAUAAUGAAGACACUUGUGCCUCUUUUCGGUCACCUCACGUUCAAGACCACGCUUGAAGUAGUUAUGCUUAAGUGCAAUAUUACAUUAGACUUAACACCAGCGUCAAGGACAGACUUUAUUUUUCUAGGAAGUGCUGGAUUGGAUCUUGAUAAAUAUAAAUCAGUGCAUGUGGUACUGCCGAAAUACAUAUUUUUGCAACGCGUGAUGAACAAACAUAUCAACGAGUUUAGGCAAGAGUUUCGAUUUAGAUCAGAAAUAUUGGAAAAAGUGUCCAACACGAUUGAGAGCAUUGGCGGCAAAAACAAAACUCUAGUUGGAGUUCACGUGAGAAGGACAGAUUACAAGAGGUACCUUUCUGGUCAUAAUGAGACUCUUGUCAAUGAGACUUAUUUUAAGAACGCAAUGCAGUACUUCAGAGACAAAUAUCCCGAGCAUCGUCUGCUCUUUUUGAUAGUCAGCGACGAUAUGAAAUGGAGCGAAGAGAAUCUUUCAAAUGAAAAUGAUGUGCGAAUGGCAUCAGUUGACCCAGUUCACGACCUAGCAUUAUUAAGCGUUUGCAACCACACCAUCACAGACUAUGGUACCUAUGGUGCAUUUGGAUCUUUCAUGUCUUCCGGCCACAAGGUCAUGGUUAACGUUCAAAAACAAUUCUGUUUUCUGGAACAAAAUUAUAACUGGACAUUUUUUGACAAAGACACUCUUUUGCCAACUUAAUACUGCCAUAUUUUUUAUUUAAAGAUUAUUUUGAAAUCAAAAAGCACGUGAAUGUUAAUAUUUUUCUCAAAAUCUGCCAAAUAAUGUAUUAAUAAAAAUUCUUGGAACUUUGAAAAUGAGUGUGUGCAUAAAGGCUUGAGUACUUUUCAUUUAAU